RNAcentral lists this ribosomal RNA (503 nucleotides) under uncultured bacterium. Its description in RNAcentral is "partial 16S ribosomal RNA". It matches the Rfam family "Bacterial small subunit ribosomal RNA", at positions 29 to 507 of the family's 1533-position model. The record is from RNAcentral.
AACGAACGCUGGCGGCGUGCCUAACACAUGCAAGUCGAACGAGAAAGGGGCUUCGGCUCCGAGUAAAGUGGCGCACGGGUGAGUAACACGUGGGUAACCUGCCUCUAAGAUUGGGAUAACUCGUCGAAAGAUGAGCUAAUACCGAAUAAGACCACAGUUCCCGCGGGAACAGGGGUCAAAGGUAGCCUCUGCUUGCAAGCUAUCACUUAGAGAUGGGCCUGCGCACCAUUAGCUAGUUGGUAGGGUAACGGCCUACCAAGGCAAAGAUGGUUAGCUGGUCUGAGAGGAUGAUCAGCCACACUGGAACGGAGACACGGUCCAGACUCCUACGGGAGGCAGCAGUGGGGAAUAUUGCGCAAUGGGCGAAAGCUUGACGCAGCAACGCCGCGUGAGUGAUGAAGGCCGUCGGGUCGUAAAGCUCUGUCGGGAGGAACGAAUGCUCCUGAGGUUAACAGCCUCGGGAGGUGACGGUACCUUCAAAGGAAGCACCGGCUAACUCUGUG